UCUCCUGGAAACGGGUGGUAAUGCCGGAUGCUCCAGUUGAUCGCAUGGUCUUCUGGGAAAGCUUUCGCGGUAUGGGAUGGGGUCGCGUCCUAUCAGCUUGACGGCGGGGUAACGGCCCACCGUGGCUUCGACGGGUAGCCGGCCUGAGAGGGCGACCGGCCACAUUGGGACUGAGAUACGGCCCAGACUCCUACGGGAGGCAGCAGUGGGGAAUAUUGCACAAUGGGCGCAAGCCUGAUGCAGCGACGCCGCGUGAGGGAUGGAGGCCUUCGGGUUGUAAACCUCUUUUAUCGGGGAGCAAGCGAGAGUGAGUUUACCCGUUGAAUAAGCACCGGCUAACUACGUGCCAGCAGCCGCGGUAAUACGUAGGGUGCAAGCGUUAUCCGGAAUUAUUGGGCGUAAAGGGCUCGUAGGCGGUUCGUCGCGUCCGGUGUGAAAGUCCAUCGCUUAACGGUGGAUCCCCGCCGGGUACGGGCGGGCUUGAGUGCGGUAGGGGAGACUGGAAUUCCCGGUGUAACGGUGGAAUGUGUAG
Molecule: ribosomal RNA, 532 nt
Filed under: Bifidobacterium longum
Lineage: Bacteria; Bacillati; Actinomycetota; Actinomycetes; Bifidobacteriales; Bifidobacteriaceae
Description: bacterial SSU rRNA
Rfam family: Bacterial small subunit ribosomal RNA
Source: RNAcentral